UACGUAGGGUGCGAGCGUUAAUCGGAAUUACUGGGCGGAAAGCGUGCGCAGGCGGUUCGUUGUGUCGGCGGGGAAAGCCCCGGGCUCAACCUGGGAAUGGCCGUUGAAACUGGCGAACUGGAGUGUGGCAGAGGGGGGUGGAAUUCCGCGUGUAGCAGUGAAAUGCGUAGAGAUGCGGAGGACCACCGAUGGCGAAGGCAGCCCCCUGGGCUGACACUGACGCUCAGGCACGAAAGCGUGGGGAGCAAACAGG
Molecule: ribosomal RNA, 253 nt
Filed under: uncultured bacterium
Lineage: Bacteria
Description: partial 16S ribosomal RNA
Rfam family: Bacterial small subunit ribosomal RNA
Source: RNAcentral